AGAGCGAACGCUGGCGGCAGGCCUAACACAUGCAAGUCGAGCGGCCGUAGCAAUACGGCAGCGGCAGACGGGAGAGUAACACGUGGGAACGUACCCUUCAGUUCGGAACAACCCAGGGAAACUUGGGCUAAUACCGAAUACGUCCGUAAGGAGAAAGAUUUAUCGCUGAAGGAUCGGCCCGCGUCUGAUUAGCUAGUUGGUGAGGUAACGGCUCACCAAGGCUACGAUCAGUAGCUGGUCUGAGAGGAUGAUCAGCCUCACUGGGACUGAGACACGGCCCAGACUCCUACGGGAGGCAGCAGUGGGGAAUAUUGGACAAUGGGCGCAAGCCUGAUCCAGCCAUGCCGCGUGGAUGAUGAAGGCCUUAGGGUUGUAAAGUCCUUUCGACGGGGAAGAUAAUGACGGUACCCGUAGAAGAAGCCCGGCUAACUUCGUGCCAGCAGCCGC
Molecule: ribosomal RNA, 447 nt
Filed under: uncultured bacterium
Lineage: Bacteria
Description: SSU rRNA
Rfam family: Bacterial small subunit ribosomal RNA
Source: RNAcentral